UACAGGGGGUGCAAACGUUGCUCGGAAUCAUUGGGCGUAAAGCGCACGUAGGCGGUCUGUUAUGUCGGAUGUGAAAGCCCUCGGCUCAACUGAGGAAGUGCAUCCGAAACUGGCAGGCUAAAGUACUAAAGAGGGUCGCGGAAUUCCCGGUGUAGAGGUGAAAUUCGUAGAUAUCGGGAGGAACACCGGUGGCGAAGGCGGCGACCUGGGUAGAUACUGACGCUGAGGUGCGAAAGCGUGGGGAGCAAACAGG
This 253-nucleotide ribosomal RNA is filed under the name uncultured bacterium. RNAcentral's name for it is "partial 16S ribosomal RNA". It matches the Rfam family "Bacterial small subunit ribosomal RNA", at positions 524 to 776 of the family's 1533-position model. The record is from RNAcentral.